CAGCCGCGUAAUUCCAGCUCCAAUAGCGUAUAUUAAAGUUGUUGCAGUUAAAAAGCUCGUAGUUGAAUUUCGGGGUUAGUAGGUUGGUCAUGCCUCUGGUAUGUACUGGUCUCACUGAUUCCUCCUUCCUGAUGAACCUUAAUGCCAUUAAUUUGGUGUUUUGGGGAAUUUGGACUGUUACUUUGAAAAAAUUAGAGUGUUUAAAGCAAGCUAACGCUUGAAUACAUUAGCAUGGAAUAAUGAAAUAGGACGUUCGAUCCUAUUUUGUUGGUUUCUAGGAUUGACGUAAUGAUUAAUAGGGAUAGUUGGGGGCAUUAGUAUUCAAUUGUCAGAGGUGAAAUUCUUGGAUUUAUUGAAGACUAACUACUGCGAAAGCAUUUGCCAAGGAUGUUUUCAUUAAUCAAGAACGAAAGUUAGGGGAUCGAAGACGAUCAGAUACCGUCGUAGUCUUAACCAUAAACUAUGCCGACUAGGGAUCGGAUGAUGUUAAUUUUUUAAUGACUCAUUCGGCGCCUUACG
Molecule: unclassified non-coding RNA, 519 nt
Filed under: uncultured Glomeromycotina
Lineage: Eukaryota; Fungi; Glomeromycota
Description: SSU rRNA
Rfam family: Eukaryotic small subunit ribosomal RNA
Source: RNAcentral